AGAGUUUGAUCCUGGCUCAGAACGAACGCUGGCGGCGUGUCUUAAGCAUGCAAGUCGUGCGGCAAGGACAGCAAUGUCCCUAGAGCGGCGGACUGGUGAGUAACGCGUGGGUGAUCUACCCUUGGGUUGGGGAUAGCCAUUAGAAAUAGUGGGUAAUACCGAAUACGUUCGCGAGGCUGUGGCCUUGCGAGGAAAGGCGCUUCGGCGCCACCCGAGGAUGAGCCCGCGUCCCAUUAGCUAGUUGGUGAGGUAAUGGCCCACCAAGGCGAUGAUGGGUAGGCGGCCUGAGAGGGUGUACGCCCACACUGGGACUGAGAUACGGCCCAGACUCCUACGGGAGGCAGCAGCUAAGAAUAUUCCGCAAUGGACGAAAGUCUGACGGAGCGACGCCGCGUGGAUGACGAAGGCCGAAAGGUUGUAAAAUCCUUUUGUUGGGGAAGAAUAAGCGUGACAGGUAAUGGUCGCGUGAUGACAUGAACCGAC
This 483-nucleotide ribosomal RNA is filed under the name uncultured bacterium. Its description in RNAcentral is "bacterial SSU rRNA". It matches the Rfam family "Bacterial small subunit ribosomal RNA", at positions 8 to 483 of the family's 1533-position model. The record is from RNAcentral.